RNAcentral lists this transfer RNA (58 nucleotides) under Nobia grandis. Its description in RNAcentral is "tRNA-Ser". The record is from RNAcentral. Lineage: Eukaryota; Metazoa; Arthropoda; Thecostraca; Balanomorpha; Pyrgomatidae.
GAAAAUGAAAACUUCAAAGCUGCUAACUUUGAAUAUUGCAUAAAUUGUAACAUUUUCU